RNAcentral lists this ribosomal RNA (497 nucleotides) under uncultured bacterium. Its description in RNAcentral is "partial 16S ribosomal RNA". It matches the Rfam family "Bacterial small subunit ribosomal RNA", at positions 28 to 507 of the family's 1533-position model. The record is from RNAcentral.
GAUGAACGCUGGCGGCGUGCCUAAUACAUGCAAGUCGAGCGAACAGACGAGGAGCUUGCUCCUCUGACGUUAGCGGCGGACGGGUGAGUAACACGUGGAUAACCUACCUAUAAGACUGGGAUAACUUCGGGAAACCGGAGCUAAUACCGGAUAAUAUAUUGAACCGCAUGGUUCAAUAGUGAAAGACGGUUUUGCUGUCACUUAUAGAUGGAUCCGCGCCGCAUUAGCUAGUUGGUAAGGUAACGGCUUACCAAGGCAACGAUGCGUAGCCGACCCGAGAGGGUGAUCGGCCACACUAGAACUGAGACACGGUCCAGACUCCUACGGGAGGCAGCAGUAGGGAAUCUUCCGCAAUGGGCGAAAGCCUGACGGAGCAACGCCGCGUGAGUGAUGAAGGUCUUCGGAUCGUAAAACUCUGUUAUUAGGGAAGAACAAAUGUGUAAGUAAUUAUGCACGUCUUGACGGUACCUAAUCAGAAAGCCACGGCUAACUACGUG